RNAcentral lists this long non-coding RNA (497 nucleotides) under Ananas comosus (pineapple). Its description in RNAcentral is "long non-coding RNA (ACOM_LNC029696)". The record is from RNAcentral. Lineage: Eukaryota; Viridiplantae; Streptophyta; Magnoliopsida; Poales; Bromeliaceae.
AUUAGUUCACACCAUUAACUUUUCAGAGUACUUAUUGUUUAUAUAUAAUUUUUAAUUACAUUAAAUUAAAUAACCAUAGAAGUUUUUCAUUUUUUGAUAAUAAUUAAUAAGAAAAACUUCAAAUACCACCUCUAUGAUUACACACUUUCUCACUUUAGUACCCUAUGAUUUAAAAUAUAUCAAUUUAGUGCCAUGUGGUUUCAUUUUUAUUUUUUUAUUAUCGAUUUCACUAAUUUUUUUCGUUAAAUUAGUGACAAACUUAAAACUAAAUGGUACUAUAUUGAAUAUUCGAUAAACCUAAGUAGGAUAUCUGAAGUUUCUUGUAUAUAAUUUAACGAAAUAUUAAUGAAAAAGCUAACGAAAAGAUAAAAAUUAAACCACAGAACACUAACUUAAUAUACUUUAAACCACAUGGUACUAAAGCGAGAAAGUACGAAACCACGGGGCGGUAUUUAAAAUUUACCCUUAUUAAUAAAUAUAAAAUAUGGUGUAUGAGA